UCCUUCUUCUUCUCUUCCUUCUUCUUCUUCUUCUUCUUAUUGCGCACUAUGAGAGUUCUUCAUAGUCAACUAUGUCAACUUUCUCAUAGUCAACUUUUUGAUUGCAUCAAAAAAAACAAUGCACAUGUAUGUCCAACUUAAGUAAUAAGGCCCGAGGAGGUGUGGUAUAUGGCCAAUAUACCACGGCUAAGGACUGUUCGUGUGCACAACGCAUUGCGGAAUUCCUGGCCCUUAGCCGUGCUAUAUCUGUAUUGGCCAUAUACCACAACCUCCCCGAGGGGUCUUAUUGCUAUUAUAAACUGGUUACCAACGUAACUAGAGCAGUUAAAACCUAUACCCAUGGUAUAGGGUCUGAUAUACCAUGGCUGUCAGCCAAUCAGCAUUUAGGGCUCGAACCGCCUAGUUUAUAAUCUAAUAUAGUACAAUAUUGCAUUUACAGUUACUGUAAAUUAAAAUAAGUUAAAUUUAUAAAUGAGCACAUCCUCAGCGUGUGAGGGAAUUGAGUUAGCCUACGUCCCAAAUGGCACCCUAUUCCCUGUAUACUGUACUACUGUUGACCAGAGCCCUUUUGGGCCCGGUUUAAAAGUAGUGUACUAUAUAAGGAACAGGGUACUAUUUGGGAUGCUUCCCAAGUCACUUCAGGAGUUAACUUUUAAGUGCCUACUUUGUCAGCCAGACGAUCAUGAUCACCCUAAAUGAAAUGUUAAAUGAUGACUAGUCAACAUAGGUAAAAGGGGGAGACCUAGUCAGUUGCACAACUGAAUGCAUUGAACUGAAAUGUGUCUUCCGCAUUUAACCCUCUGAAUCAGGGGUGGCUGGGUAGCCUAGUGGUUAGAACGUUGGGCAAGUAACCGAAAUCUAUCGUUCUGCCCCUGAACAAGGCAGUUAACCCACUGUUCCCCGGUAGGCCGUCAUUGUAAAUAAGAAUUUGUUGUUAACCGACUUGCCUCGUUAAAUUUUUAAAACAUCUGAGAGGUGCAAGGGGCUGCCGUCGUCUAGGGAACAGUUGUUGUUGGGGCUUUAACUAUUUUUCCAACUUACCACUUUUAUUAUGAUGGUAUCUUGUGUGAUUUGCUAUUUAUAGUAUUAUAAUGUGUUUGGCCAAAUGUGGCGCCUAGUAAUAUCAUUGUGUGAUUUUCCUCAAAAGAAAUGUGGAAACCUUUUUUUUCUUCCUCAAAGACUUUGCACCAAAACAUUUUUAUUCAGAGAACAAGACCAUGUCAAAAUCCUAAAUUAUUCAUUGUCUCCAACCUGUUGGUGAAACAACUCGGGCCACGUCCAAAUCAGACCCCCCAAAUUCGCCACAAUAUUUAUUGCUGAGAAAUACAACGUCUUUCAAAUGUUAUAAUUUUGAAUUUCUGAAUAUUUAGUGACUCAUUAUGAUACAAUCCCCUGUUAACCCUCAUUCAUUCUGUAAAUAUUGGGUACUUUUGUUGUAGAUUUAUGGUCCGUUUGUACUCUUAUGAAGCCAGAUCUGUGCAUGUGUACGGUGCCCAGUCCUGCUACAAACACAUUGGUAUGUUUCUUUAUAAGAUAAAGAGACUGCUACUCUCCUAGCCUGGUUAAACCAAACUGAAUGAAGUACUCACUAUGGUAAAUGUAGCAUUCACACUGGUUUAACCAGGCUACUAUUUUCCUCUUCUGCUAAGGUUGUAUCUCAAAUGGCACCCUAAUUCCCCUUUAGUGUGCCCUGGUCAAAAUGUGUGCACUAAAUAAGGAAUAGAGUGCCAUUUGGGAUGCACUCUUAAGACAAUACCUUGGUCCCACCUCUGUGCUGUCUUGACAACUCCUAUGGUCAUUGUCACAGAGGCAAGACGACACAACCAGAUCUGGGUCCAGGCUAGUUAAACAACACUAAGUAUGCAUGCCCGAUGCCAGACAGAUGUGUAAAUGACCGUAGAUUUGAAGUAAUGUAGGACGUGGUGCUUUGUGUGCCAUGUCCAAUACAGGCAAGUUACUAAGCCCUGUCAUAUACUUCCUCCACCCCCCAACCCCCCCGAAAAGUCAAGUUGGACACGUAGCCAAUAUGUAUGUCUGUUUUUUCAGCUCUGCUUUGAGUUAACUUAUGAGCACAAUGUUGUGUUUCCUGUUGGAACUGUGAUCAUUACUGUCAUCACUGUGUGUGUUUUCAUGGCUGAGGGCUGCCAGAGUUAGUCUUUUUGGUGCUAAUAUGAAAUACAGCUACUGUACAUUGCAUUUGAGUAAUGACAACAGUCUGCCAGUAGAGGGCAGUGCUCUAGUAAUGACAACACUCUGCCAGUAGAGGGCAGUGUCCUGAUGAAAUAAUGUGGUACAUUGGUUGAAUUGAAAUAUAGCUGUGUAUUGCUAUAAGUAUUUAUUUUAACGUGUGCUAAAAACAAAGAAAGUUUAAAGAAGCUUUGAAAACCAGGUUCUCUGUCCUAAAUCUGAAUCCUAGACAUAUGGAUGUAAUGUUCUGGCCUUUGUAACGUGUGUCCCAAAGCUAGUUUUACCCUGCUGGAUCCACAAGCUACUGACAAUCUAAUCCGCGUCCCAAAUGGCAUCCUAUUGCCUACAUAGUGCACUACUUUACCAGGCUCCAUAGGACUUUGGUCAAAAGUAGUGCACUAUAUAGGGUUCAAUUUGGGACACUGCGUAAGGGUUCGAUUCAGGAAGAGUCAUAGACCUUUAUAGACAUGGCUGUGAGUUCAGGUUUCAUAGAGGAGGGGCAAAUCUCUGAAUCUGUUUGUUUUUUAAUCUGCUUGUGUCUGUUUUUUUUUUUGACCAUUCAUUUGAAGGCCGGUAUUCAAUGCAAGACGUAUUGUAGUGCGUCUCACUACACAAUUCACCUUUUCCACAGCGUUCGCUGAGAUCGCUGUGCAUUUCGGCUUAAGCACGACCAUGACCUUUCCUACAUGUCUGUUCUAGUGGGCUGUACUAUAACGUGCCUUGGAUUGAGUCCCUGGACAAACUGUGUCAAGUCUAUUACGGUAUUUUGAUACUGUAAUGAAUCGUCUGGCUUCUGCCAUCUGUUUAACAGCUGCUGUAAAUAAAACCACCUU
This is a long non-coding RNA of Oncorhynchus tshawytscha (Chinook salmon), 3020 nucleotides long. NCBI's taxonomy places the organism in Eukaryota, Metazoa, Chordata, Actinopteri, Salmoniformes, Salmonidae. The record is from Ensembl.